AUUAACCCGAAUGGAAGAAACUUCUUCCCCAAUAGCUUCCAUCUAAGAUGAAGCCUCAGGUCCUGAGACGGCCUCAUGAUAGGUCAUGGGGAUGCCAACGUCAACAAGGUCACAAAAGUCAUCAAGCUCUAUAGCAUCUGCUUCAACAUUUUCCUGGACUUUCAACGAGGGCCGACGUUCCCGGGGGUGAUCAAGAACUG
This 200-nucleotide long non-coding RNA is filed under the name Selaginella moellendorffii. RNAcentral's name for it is "long non-coding RNA (SMOE_LNC001008)". Lineage: Eukaryota; Viridiplantae; Streptophyta; Lycopodiopsida; Selaginellales; Selaginellaceae. The record is from RNAcentral.